CAGCAGCCGCGGGAAUACGAAGGGGGCUAGCGUUGCUCGGAAUGACUGGGCGUAAAGGGCGCGUAGGCGGAUUGUUUAGUUAGGCGUGAAAUUCCUGGGCUUAACCUGGGGACUGCGCUUAAUACAGGCAGUCUAGAGUGAGGAAGAGGGUUGUGGAAUUCCCAGUGUAGAGGUGAAAUUCGUAGAUAUUGGGAAGAACACCGGUGGCGAAGGCGGCAACCUGGUCCUUGACUGACGCUGAGGCGCGAAAGCGUGGGGAGCAAACAGGAUUAGAUACCCGCGUAGUCCCUGUCUCUUAUAA
RNAcentral lists this ribosomal RNA (301 nucleotides) under uncultured bacterium. RNAcentral describes it as "partial 16S ribosomal RNA". It matches the Rfam family "Bacterial small subunit ribosomal RNA", at positions 509 to 809 of the family's 1533-position model. The record is from RNAcentral.